CACCGCCCGUCACAUCACGAAAAGCCAGUUGUACUAGAAGCCGGCAAUUCAACCCGCAAGGGAGAUAGCCGUCCAAGGUAUGACUGGGUGAUUGGGGUG
This 99-nucleotide ribosomal RNA is filed under the name uncultured bacterium. RNAcentral's name for it is "partial 16S ribosomal RNA". The record is from RNAcentral.